RNAcentral lists this ribosomal RNA (245 nucleotides) under uncultured bacterium. Its description in RNAcentral is "partial 16S ribosomal RNA". It matches the Rfam family "Bacterial small subunit ribosomal RNA", at positions 15 to 263 of the family's 1533-position model. The record is from RNAcentral.
GAUCCUGGCUCAGAUUGAACGCUGGCGGCAUGCCUUACACAUGCAAGUCGAACGGUAACAGGUCUUCGGACGCUGACGAGUGGCGAACGGGUGAGUAAUACAUCGGAACGUGCCCAGUCGUGGGGGAUAACUACUCGAAAGAGUAGCUAAUACCGCAUACGAUCUGAGGAUGAAAGCGGGGGACCUUCGGGCCUCGCGCGAUUGGAGCGGCCGAUGGCAGAUUAGGUAGUUGGUGGGGAUAAAAG